RNAcentral lists this ribosomal RNA (923 nucleotides) under uncultured organism. RNAcentral describes it as "bacterial SSU rRNA". It matches the Rfam family "Bacterial small subunit ribosomal RNA", at positions 1 to 918 of the family's 1533-position model. The record is from RNAcentral.
UGGAUCCAGACUUUGAUUCUGGCUCAGGAUGAACGCUAGCGGCAGGCUUAACACAUGCAAGUCGAGGGGCAGCAUAAUGGAUAGCAAUAUCUAUGGUGGCGACCGGCGCACGGGUGCGUAACGCGUAUGCAACCUACCUUUAACAGGGGGAUAACACUGAGAAAUUGGUACUAAUACCCCAUAAUAUCAUAGAAGGCAUCUUUUAUGGUUGAAAAUUCCGAUGGUUAGAGAUGGGCAUGCGUUGUAUUAGCUAGUUGGUGGGGUAACGGCUCACCAAGGCGACGAUACAUAGGGGGACUGAGAGGUUAACCCCCCACACUGGUACUGAGACACGGACCAGACUCCUACGGGAGGCAGCAGUGAGGAAUAUUGGUCAAUGGACGCAAGUCUGAACCAGCCAUGCCGCGUGCAGGAUGACGGCUCUAUGAGUUGUAAACUGCUUUUGUACGAGGGUAAACGCAGAUACGUGUAUCUGUCUGAAAGUAUCGUACGAAUAAGGAUCGGCUAACUCCGUGCCAGCAGCCGCGGUAAUACGGAGGAUUCAAGCGUUAUCCGGAUUUAUUGGGUUUAAAGGGUGCGUAGGCGGUUUGAUAAGUUAGAGGUGAAAUUUCGGGGCUCAACCCUGAACGUGCCUCUAAUACUGUUGAGCUAGAGAGUAGUUGCGGUAGGCGGAAUGUAUGGUGUAGCGGUGAAAUGCUUAGAGAUCAUACAGAACACCGAUUGCGAAGGCAGCUUACCAAACUAUAUCUGACGUUGAGGCACGAAAGCGUGGGGAGCAAACAGGAUUAGAUACCCUGGUAGUCCACGCAGUAAACGAUGAUAACUCGUUGUCGGCGAUACACAGUCGGUGACUAAGCGAAAGCGAUAAGUUAUCCACCUGGGGAGUACGUUCGCAAGAAUGCAACUCAAAUGAAUUGACGGAA